This is a long non-coding RNA of Gasterosteus aculeatus aculeatus (three-spined stickleback), 1861 nucleotides long. RefSeq lists it as uncharacterized. The record is from RefSeq and is a predicted model, not a curated record. NCBI's taxonomy places the organism in Eukaryota, Metazoa, Chordata, Actinopteri, Perciformes, Gasterosteidae.
GGGGGGGGGUCUCACGCAGACUUGCUUGCAUGUUCAACUUCGCGAGGAUAAGGAGAGGACUUAAUUCGGCGUGUCUGUGCGCGUGAAUUGGCGUUUCGGUGUUUUGUGAAACGUCAGACGGGCGUGAUGUGGCAGGAGGGGUUGGCGGACUGACCUGUUCCAUCACAUCCCGAAUAAACCGGCGCGUAGCAGCGUCAUUGUGCGUGAUCGCCACAGACCGGGUAGUAUUACUCAAGUUAGGACGACUUAAUGUAUCACAUUGUAUCGCAUGUUCACAGUUGGACCUUAACAUAGUUAUUAUUACAUUGAAUUCGGAUAUUGUUGCGGGUGGGGAAGCACCGACGGACUCACAAUCUGAGCUGUCUCCCAUAGAUGAGAGGCAGGCUGUAGAUCUUAUCGGAUCGGCUGGGGCAAAGUAAAGUAACCACUACAGGUGCAUCUGCAAAAAAGCAAUGCAUAAAUGACAUUUCCACAAGUUUGCUUUUUUAAUCCAGAGACCGAAGCUCGCGCACAGAAGACCAAUAUCAAACUUGUCUCAUGGCAUCUGGACUUAACCUCCGGAGUCCCAUCAGAAGCCGGGAUCAGGCGAUCACCUUGAACCGCUCGUGCGUCUUGUUUUACAUUUCUCGAUCUGCCGCGUCGGGGCCCCCACGGAGGUCCCCGGGCCGCGGGUUGCGCACCAAUGAGCCCAGGCAGCAGCUGAAGAAUCCCCUUUAUGAUAUGGAGGCAACGCGCGUUGACGCGUCGCGCUGCGCUUCCGACCACAGUCGUCGGAAUGCGUCUCCGGCGCGCACACACACACAGACACAAACACACACACGCGCACACACUCUCUCACGCAACACUCUCAUGGGGACAUGCGGCCAGCAAGACGCAGCCACGGACUCCCAAUGGACCCUCAAGCCUCAAACAACAGACGGACACUCCGGGAGAGGCGGAGGAAGCGUCCAUCUGUGGCAGCCAAAAUGGUCGCCGCAACAGACGGCCAUCUUGGUUUCGGCGAAGGGACUGCAGACUCGGAAAGGCAAACAAGGAGAUGAGGAGGCCAAUGGCCGUAAAGCUUCAUAACCUAUUAACAUGUUGCCGUUUAGCGAGUAUUCGUUAGUUAAACCACAAAGUCUUUCUUCCAAGCGCAGAUUGUGUGUAUUUAACAUUGCUAGCAGCGAGCCAUCGUACGGGACGACGCUCUUUCAACCGCUUGGUAAUACGUCACCUGCACGUUUUUUUUGCGUGACAAAGAUUUGGCGGAGCAACCUCAUCCUCCUCCGUCCGUUUCCAUCGGCGACGGCUUCAGAUGCAAUCCCGUGACGUCGCAGGGAGGGUCAUUUGUGGAGCGCCGUGCAUCCUCGGGUCGGCCCCGCGGGUGCUCAGUAGUCAGUGUAGAUCCUGUGCGGCUGGCAGCAGCUACAUCUGGCUACUGGGUCUCUGCCGGCAGGCGUGUCAUUCAGAGCACACAAAAGGCUUUCGAACACUAGUAUUUUCAGACCUAUUUUUCUUUAUUCUUUAUUUAACAGCGGUUUCCUUUCGUUGUUCACAGUUUGAUAACAUGCGUGACACUUUUAAAAGCAGAGUGUGUUCUGGACCUGGCAUUCAGUGUAGGAUUCUGUGUGUGUCAAUCUACAGCUACAUUGUCUGCUGGGUUUCAGGCCCUCACUCACACACACACACACACACCAAUGCCUUUAUUCGGAAAGCACUUCUAUGGUUUGUCUCACCCGUGUAAAUGACGGCAAAGCAUAAUGAAAAGAUGGUUUAAGGAUGGUAUGUUUAAGGAACUGAAAAGCAUGGAUCAUUUGACAACGUUGUGUUUAUUGACUCAUCAUAAAACAUUCUUCAAACAAUAAAACAAUUUUUAAAUGUC